AUGAGCCCCUGUCAGAAAACAGGAGCCCCUGAACCGCUGAGAGCUGGCCCUCCUCCGGAGCGGAUUCGCCUGGUGCUGCCGGUGGGAUCGAUUGCAGGGGAGCAYGUUGACCUGCCGAAAAGAGGGGAGCUUUGCCCAACUCCUGGUCUCCGUGAGCCUCGCUCUGAAAAAGCAACAACAAAAUGCUCUGCUUGGGCUGGCCAGGUCUCGAGGCUACACCAGGCUCCCAGCCAACCUCUCGGAGUGUGCUAUUUCUGAGGAAAAACCAUGGGAGUUUUUCACUCUGCCUCACCAGAGCUUCCCCUGUGUUUGCUUGGCGACAGAGGUGGCUUUUGCUAAGAGGAUGACCAGGUUGCCCAUCCUGGUGAGGCAAGAGGCCAGGAGCAGGUGCCACGUCUUGCAGUGACCCACGUGGAAAAGAGCUCAUGGAUGAUGCCUGGGUCAAGCGGGAAGCUUCCAGCCCCAACUACUGUCACCUGCUUGGGGAAAGCUGACACCCUCCUGGUUACACAAGGAGGCCACGUGAAGACCAGCAAGAGCAGGAAACGCUCCUGUUCCUGGUAGCUGGCGACUGUGAGAUUGUGUAACUCCUUGGCAGAAGUGCCUGUGUUAUCUAUUUGCAAUCUAUUGUCCUCCRCUAACAGCUUUGCGUUCACAUCAUCAAUGGCAUUUAAUCACCUGUCUUCUCUUAAUUACGCUGGGAUGCAGGCGUUUAGCUCAUCCACCAAGGCAAGCCGCUGGGUUUGCAUGUGUUGCUGGCUGAGGAGGUGCACGAGGACAUGCAGUGACGUUUAAGCAGCUGUUUAAACCAUGCAUGGCCAUGCUGAGCCGCUGAUCCCCACCGCAGUAUUUGUGCUAACAGUGGUUAACUCUGCAUCCCCAAAAAGAAAGCAGGAGUAGAGGCCRGAAUUCCCAGACGCAGCAGUGGGAUGAGGCCUGGAUUUUGCAAGCCAAGUGAACCUGCAGACGUUGAAUUGGGGAGAGUCUCC
Molecule: long non-coding RNA, 989 nt
Organism: Nothoprocta perdicaria
Lineage: Eukaryota; Metazoa; Chordata; Aves; Tinamiformes; Tinamidae
Exons: 4
Source: RefSeq, a predicted model, not a curated record